CUCUACAAGUGUAACAUCAGCGGUCGUGGAGAGUCUCCAUCCAGCUGGAUCUCUGUCACAGUGAAACCCACCACUACAAGUCCUCCUUCAACCCCCUCUCCUCCUGGUUCCUCCUCUGCCCCUCCCUUAGCAUUUUGGUCUACGGUUCUAUCUUUCUGUGUACUGGUUCUUCUGGUUGUACUGGUGAGACGAUGCCUCCACAGGAAACCUAAAGAGAGUGAUCCAGCUGCAGUCUACUCAGCAGUGAGAGGAGCAGGAGACGUCAGUUAUGGACAAAUAGUCAUCAGACCACACAGGACGAGAGAGUUUCCAGCAGAGCCAGAGGUCGUCUACUCUUCACUGAGGUAGACCUUCACACCUUCACACCAGUCCAACCACUGAUGUCCAGCUGGCCUGGGACUGGUCCCCAGAGCCCCUCACACCUCAGCACAUUAAUUUAUUAGAUUUCACUGUUAAAGCUACAAAGAGACAAACAGGUCAGACUUUGUGAAUGAUUUAAACACUUGUUUUUCAGUGAUAUCAGUGACAUGAAAAACCUAAAACAAAAGAUUAAAUAAAUUGUUAAAAUACUUAUUUUAAGUCACUGAAUUAUUUUUUUACCCUGUAAAGUAUUUCAGCACCGACACGUUACCUGUUUCUUUGUAGUUUUAUUCAUAUAUUUCAUAACAGAAUCUAAUGAUGACU
Molecule: long non-coding RNA, 684 nt
Organism: Micropterus salmoides (largemouth bass)
Lineage: Eukaryota; Metazoa; Chordata; Actinopteri; Centrarchiformes; Centrarchidae
Exons: 4
Source: RefSeq, a predicted model, not a curated record